GAUGAACGCUAGCUACAGGCUUAACACAUGCAAGUCGCGGGGCAGCAUGGGGGUUGCUUGCAAUCCCCGAUGGCGACCGGCGCACGGGUGAGUAACGCGUAUCCAACCUGCCCUUCACCACGGGAUAACCCGGCGAAAGUCGGACUAAUACCGUAUGUUGUCCAUUGACGGCAUCCGCUUUGGACGAAAGGCUUGGCGGUGAGGGAUGGGGAUGCGUCCGAUUAGCCAGACGGCGGGGUAACGGCCCACCGUGGCUACGAUCGGUAGGGGUUCUGAGAGGAAGGUCCCCCACACUGGAACUGAGACACGGUCCAGACUCCUACGGGAGGCAGCAGUGAGGAAUAUUGGUCAAUGGGCGUAAGCCUGAACCAGCCAAGUAGCGUGCAGGAUGACGGCCCUAUGGGUUGUAAACUGCUUUUAUGCGGGGAUAAAGUGGCCCACGUGUGGGCUUUUGCAGGUACCGCAUGAAUAAGGACCGGCUAAUUCCGUG
RNAcentral lists this ribosomal RNA (490 nucleotides) under uncultured bacterium. RNAcentral's name for it is "partial 16S ribosomal RNA". It matches the Rfam family "Bacterial small subunit ribosomal RNA", at positions 28 to 507 of the family's 1533-position model. The record is from RNAcentral.